Molecule: ribosomal RNA, 901 nt
Filed under: delta proteobacterium enrichment culture
Lineage: Bacteria; Deltaproteobacteria
Description: bacterial SSU rRNA
Rfam family: Bacterial small subunit ribosomal RNA
Source: RNAcentral
ACCUACCGCUGGCGGUAGUGCUUAGCACAUGCAACGUCGUAUCACAGACUCGGCGUUUGCCCGAUGAGCAUAGUGCAGCUCGAGUGAUUAAUGUCUGGAUAAUAUGUCCCUGGAGAUCGGAAUCACGUGCGGAUAGCUGCGUAAAUACCGCAUAAUACUGCACAAGUUCUGUUGCGUAGUCAUAGAUGGCGUUUUUUACAAGCCUUUCGUGAAGGAUGAGUCCGCGUACCAUUAGGUAGUUGGUGGGGUAAUGGCCUACCAAGGUCACGACGGUUAGUUGGUAGAGAGGAUGAUCUCCCACACUGGAAUGAGACACGGUCCAGACUCCUCCGGGAGGCAGCAGUGAGGAAUAUUGCGCAACGGGGGCCACCAAUACGCAGCAACGCUGGAUGAGUGAGGAAGGUUUUGGGGCCGUACAGCUCUGUCGAGCGGGAAGAUAUGCAUCGUGGAUAAUCUUCAUCAUGCAGGCCGGUUCCGCUAGCGGAAGCGCCGGCUAAAUCCGUACCAGCAGCCGCGGUAAUACGGGGGGUGCAAGCGUUGUUCGGAAUUAUUGGGCGUAAAGAGCGUGUAGGCGGCGAAUAAGUCAGAUGUGAAAUCCCUGGGCUCAACCCAGGACGGGCAUUUGAAACUAUUCAGCUUGAGUAAGGGAGAGGAAACAGGAAUUGGCGGUGUACAGGUGAAACUGGUAGCUAUCCGGCGGACCACCGGUGGGGAAGGCGACUUUCAGGCCCUAUGGGGAAUCCGCGUCGCGAGAGUAGGGGUAGCAAACAGGAUUAGACACUGCGGUAGUCCACGGCGUAAACGAUGUUCCAUAGGUUUUGGGGGUAUUGACCCUCUCAGCCUCGCACAGGAUCCACCAAGUGAACCGCUUGGGGAGUCCCGUCGCAAGACUAAAACUCAA